GGAUUAGAUACCCUGGUAGUCCGCACAGUAAACGAUAUACACUAGGUGUUGGUAUGGAGAACAUAUCAGUGCCGUAGCUAACGCGUUAAGUGUAUCGCCUGGGGAGUACGAUCGCAAGGUUUAAACUCAAAGGAAUUGACGGGGGCCCGCACAAGCGGUGGAGCAUGUGGUUUAAUUCGAUGCAACGCGAAGAACCUUACCUGGGUUUGACAUCCGAAGAACCUUUCAGAGAUGAGAGGGUGCCUUUUGGAGCUUCGAGACAGGUGCUGCAUGGCUGUCGUCAGCUCGUGUUG
Molecule: ribosomal RNA, 293 nt
Filed under: uncultured bacterium
Lineage: Bacteria
Description: partial 16S ribosomal RNA
Rfam family: Bacterial small subunit ribosomal RNA
Source: RNAcentral